Molecule: ribosomal RNA, 404 nt
Filed under: Verrucomicrobiota bacterium
Lineage: Bacteria; Pseudomonadati; Verrucomicrobiota
Description: Verrucomicrobia bacterium partial 16S ribosomal RNA
Rfam family: Bacterial small subunit ribosomal RNA
Source: RNAcentral
UGGGGAAUAUUGCACAAUGGAGGGAACUCUGAUGCAGCGACGCCGCGUGAACGAAGAAGGCUUUCGAGUCGUAAAGUUCUUUUAUAUGGGAAGAUAAUGACGGUACCAUAAGAAAAAGCCACGGCUAACUACGUGCCAGCAGCCGCGGUAAUACGUAGGUGGCAAGCGUUGUCCGGAAUUAUUGGGCGUAAAGCGCGCGCAGGUGGUUUAGAAAGUCUGAUGUGAAAGCCCACGGCUCAACCGUGGAGGGUCAUUGGAAACUAAUAAACUUGAGUGCAGGAGAGAAAAGUGGAAUUCCUAGUGUAGCGGUGAAAUGCGUAGAGAUUAGGAGGAACACCGGUGGCGAAAGCGGCUUUUUGGCCUGCAACUGACACUGAGGCGCGAAAGCGUGGGGAGCAAACAGG